Macrobrachium nipponense is the source of this 863-nucleotide long non-coding RNA. RefSeq lists it as uncharacterized. Lineage: Eukaryota; Metazoa; Arthropoda; Malacostraca; Decapoda; Palaemonidae. The transcript has 3 exons. The record is from RefSeq and is a predicted model, not a curated record.
UAUCCGGAGGAGGAUAUAAAUGGGCGGUUCUGGCGACUCUCAGCAUCAGUCGACGUACAUCGUUCGAACUAUCAACAUGUAUAAGGUCAUCAUCUUCGCUUCCGUCAUGGCCGCCGUGGUCCUCUCCAGACCGAACGAUCCCUUCGCCCCUGGAUAUCCUGAUGCUCCUGCCGUUUACGAAUACAAGUACGGGGUCCAGGACGACUUGACCGGCAACGAUUUCGGACACGAGGAGGCCCGCGACGGCUACCUCACAAACGGCCAGUACUUCGUCCUGCUACCGGACGGCCGUAUCCAGACCGUACAGUACACCGUUAACGGAGACGAGGGCUACGUUGCAAACGUAGCCUAUUCGAAGAAACGAUAAGGAGGGUUUUAAAAGAAUAAAACGUCCCCUUCGCGCCGUUUCAGUUCUUCGACCAUUUGCCAAUCUGGACAUCUUGAAUUAUGACCUAGGGUUACCUCACGUUUGGAUGUGGCCUAAGGAAGCUUUCACUUACUCCCGUAAUUUAUAGAAAAUUUCCAGCGAAAGCUGUUAAAAGGAAAACAAUAACUUUCACGCAAAGUCUUCAGGAAGUGGAUAGUCAUUUGUUUCAAAUAAAAUAAUGGAUGACUUCCGUGUAACUGACACGCUAUUUUAUGUGACAGCCACUGCUUCUAAAAGUGUUAUUGAAAACCUCUUCUCAGUUAAAGUUCUUCGUUACCUUUUUAAUAAUACCCAAGGUAACUUCUAGAGUCCAAAGGACUGUAUACUUUUGGCCCCGUAACAUUAAAAUCCUACCAAUUUCUCCUUUGUAUCUUAUUUCAGGUGACGAAAAUUGCUUUCAGUAACAGCAAAAAAUGUAAUAAAAUAUUGUUUGCCA